CAGCUCUCCGAGUGGUAGGGAUGAUUAUUGGGCUUAAAGCAUCCGUAGCCUGCUUAGCAAGUCUCCUGUUAAAUUCAGCGACCUAAUCGUUGAGCCGCGGGAGAUACUACUAGGCUAGGAGGCGGGAGAGGUCGACGGUACUUCUGGGGUAGGGGUGAAAUCCUAUAAUCCCGGGAGGACCACCAGUGGCGAAGGCUGUCGACUAGAACGCGCUCGACGGUGAGGGACGAAAGCUGGGGGAGCGAACCGGAUUAGAUACCCGAGUAGUCC
RNAcentral lists this ribosomal RNA (270 nucleotides) under uncultured archaeon. RNAcentral describes it as "partial 16S ribosomal RNA". It matches the Rfam family "Archaeal small subunit ribosomal RNA", at positions 477 to 747 of the family's 1478-position model. The record is from RNAcentral.